Molecule: long non-coding RNA, 485 nt
Filed under: Nicotiana benthamiana
Lineage: Eukaryota; Viridiplantae; Streptophyta; Magnoliopsida; Solanales; Solanaceae
Description: long non-coding RNA (NBEN_LNC033620)
Source: RNAcentral
AAUUAGUAGUCUUUCCUGUUUAAUAAGUUAUCUGAAAUCAGAAUGCAUUUUCCCUGUCCGUAUGUUCUCUUAUAUAGCCUAAAACUAAUAGCUGUAAAUUCAGCAAAUCUCCCUGGGUUGUUGAUUGCCUAUAAUUCUUAAGAUUUUAUCUGUAUGUUUGAUUAGUGAUCUACUUGUCUUUUCCUCUCAUGUUACAUCUUCCAGCAUUUAUUAGCAACAUUUUUUUAUAAUGGUGGUGUUCGGGCUAGCUUACGCACACCUCGAUUGUUACUUGCUACCUCCCACCACAUAUAGGUUUAGGUAGAGUGAUCACCUAAUCUUUUUUGUCUCUGUUAGGAUUUGAACCCUGAUCUGCACCCCGAUUGUUACCUGCUACCUCCCACCACAUGUAGGUUUAGGUAGAGUGAUCACCUAAUCUUUUUUGUCUCUGUUAGGACUUGAACCCUGAUCUCCAAGGUUUGCCCCCAUUGACUGCUAGGCCACAC